This 45-nucleotide non-coding RNA is filed under the name Trichobilharzia regenti. Lineage: Eukaryota; Metazoa; Platyhelminthes; Trematoda; Strigeidida; Schistosomatidae. The record is from RNAcentral.
AUCCACGCGAAGAGUCCCGUCUAGGACGAAAUGCGCAUCGUGGAU